This 468-nucleotide ribosomal RNA is filed under the name uncultured bacterium. Its description in RNAcentral is "partial 16S ribosomal RNA". It matches the Rfam family "Bacterial small subunit ribosomal RNA", at positions 28 to 523 of the family's 1533-position model. The record is from RNAcentral.
GAUGAACGCUGGCGGCGUGCCUAACACAUGCAAGUCGAGCGAUUUACUUCGGUAAAGAGCGGCGGACGGGUGAGUAACGCGUGGGUAACCUGCCCUGUACACACGGAUAACAUACCGAAAGGUAUGCUAAUACGAGAUAAUAUGCUUUUAUCGCAUGGUAGAAGUAUCAAAGCUCCGGCGGUACAGGAUGGACCCGCGUCUGAUUAGCUAGUUGGUAAGGUAACGGCUUACCAAGGCGACGACCAGUAGCCGACCUGAGAGGGUGAUAGGCCCCAUUGGAGCUGAGACACGGUCCAAACUCCUACGGGAGGCAGCGUUGGGGAAUAUUGCACAAUGGGCGAAAGCCUGAUGCAGCAACGCCGCGUGAGCGAUGAAGGCCUUCGGGUCGUAAAGCUCUGUCCUCAAGGAAGAUAAUGACGGUACUUGAGGAGGAAGCCCCGGCUAACUACGUGCCAGCAGCCGCCGUAA